UGAGUAACGCGUAUGCAACCUACCUAUCAGAGGGGAACUAACCCGGACGAAAGUCGGACUAAUACCGCAUAAAACAGGGGCACCGCAUGGUGAUAUUUGUUAAAGAAAUUCGCUGAUAGAUGGGCAUGCGUUCCAUUAGGUAGUUGGUGAGGUAACGGCUCACCAAGCCGACGAUGGAUAGGGGAACUGAGAGGUUGGUCCCCCACACUGGUACUGAGACACGGACCAGACUCCUACGGGAGGCAGCAGUGAGGAAUAUUGGUCAAUGGGCGGGAGCCUGAACCAGCCAAGUCGCGUGAAAAGGAAGAAGGAUCUAUGGUUCGUAAACUUCUUUUGCAGGGGAAUAAAGUGCAGGACGUGUCCUGUUUUGUAUGUACCCUGAGAAUAAGGAUCGGCUAACUCCGUGCCAGCCGCUGC
Molecule: ribosomal RNA, 417 nt
Filed under: uncultured bacterium
Lineage: Bacteria
Description: bacterial SSU rRNA
Rfam family: Bacterial small subunit ribosomal RNA
Source: RNAcentral